This is a non-coding RNA of Paralichthys olivaceus (Japanese flounder), 877 nucleotides long. The record is from RefSeq and is a predicted model, not a curated record. Lineage: Eukaryota; Metazoa; Chordata; Actinopteri; Pleuronectiformes; Paralichthyidae.
CCGCCCCCAACAACCACGUCCAAAGACAUGCAGAUGGAGGUUAUAGGGCUGACCACCUGCCCAGGGUGUACCCCGCCUCUCGCCUAAUGUCAUCUGGGAUCGGCUGCAGCUCCUGCGUGACCCUCAAUGGAUAAGCGGUAGAUAAUGGACUUAUGAACAGUUGUUGCAUGUUUUCCAUCGCCUUUCAUCAGAAAUAAUUAUAAUCAUUGCACCGGGUUAGCGAUGAGCUGUUUAUCACAAGCCUCUGUGAUUUGUAGAGGUCCAGGUUCAAAGCUUGACAUCUCAAAGAGCUUAGUGUUAAGUGAUGCAAUUAAAAAAAGUUUAGUUCUGUUACAGGCUGCUGUUGAGGUAUGUUCUUUUUUUUUUUUUUGUUUCCUCGCUGACUGCUUGUUCAAGUGGAAAGGUCAAAUUGCUGAUGUUUGAGACUGGAAACACUUGAGCUUCAUGUGUCUAAUAUGGUUGAGGCCUGAGGUGAUAAACCUAGUUUUUGAUAUGUUCUUUUUAUACCUCAGGGCCGGCAACAAGCAUGGCCAGAGGCAUUAUCUGUGAGGGUUUUGUGUCUGUCCACUCACCCCAGUCUGUUGAGUAUGAUAUUGUAGGAAUGCCUGGAGAGAAUUUUGGCUGAAACUCAGGGAUGGAGUGAUCAGACUGUGGUCAUCAGAAGUCAAAGGUCAUAUUACUAUUAAUUCAUAUUAUAUGAGCAGAGACUACAACACACAGCUACUCCGUACAUCACUGGAUGUCCUCCUUCCUCCACUAUUUGCUAAUAUGUCAACUGUUUCAUCAAAACAUUUUAAAUCUGUCCGGGAGGCCGAUCUUGGUGUAGAGUAUGAGAUGCGGAGGGAGGGGAUGGAGAGGAUCCGUUCAGGCCCAAUUA